RNAcentral lists this ribosomal RNA (465 nucleotides) under uncultured bacterium. Its description in RNAcentral is "partial 16S ribosomal RNA". It matches the Rfam family "Bacterial small subunit ribosomal RNA", at positions 28 to 507 of the family's 1533-position model. The record is from RNAcentral.
GACGAACGCUGGCGGCGUGCUUAACACAUGCAAGUCGUACGGUAAGGCCCUUUCGGGGGUACUCGAGUGUCGAACGGGUGCGUAACACGUGCGUAACCUGCCCACAACUUUGGGAUAACGCUAGGAAACUGGUGCUAAUACUGGAUAUGUGCUCCUGCUGCAUGGUGGGGGUUGGAAAGCUCCGGCGGUUGUGGCUGGACUCGCGGCCUAUCAGCUUGUUGGUGGGGUAGUGGCCUACCAAGGCGGCGACGGGUAGCCGGCCUGAGAGGGUGACCGGCCACAAUGGGACUGAGAUACGGCCCAGACUGCUAAGGGAGGCAGCAGUGGGGAAGAUUGAACAAGGGGCGCAAGCCUGAUGCAGCAACGCCGCGGGCGGGAUGACGGCGUUCGGGUUGUAAAACGCUUUCAGCAGGGACGAAGCAUUUUGUGACGGUACCUGCAGAAGAAGCACCGGCUAACUACGUG